GCGAGAUGGCUUUCGGUGACUAUCCAGCUGAAUACAACCCCAAGGUGCAUGGGCCCUACGACCCUGCCCGCUUUUAUGGGAAAGGUAAGCAAUUUUUCAAAGUUACGUA
Drosophila pseudoobscura pseudoobscura is the source of this 109-nucleotide non-coding RNA. NCBI's taxonomy places the organism in Eukaryota, Metazoa, Arthropoda, Insecta, Diptera, Drosophilidae. The record is from Rfam.